GCAUGUUUGCUGUUAUGGCUGUUUCUACUUCAGUUUAGAAGGCAACCCAGCUAAGAGAUAGAGUUUCAGUGACAUGAAGAGUUUGACGUGAAUAAUACCGUGUGUAUGCAUACAUGUUCCAGUUCUGCUUGAUGCCUUACUAAAUUCAUCACUCAUGAUAAAGGAGAUUUAUCUCAACAUGAGGAGUAAAGCUGUUGGUUGUUGUGAUUUCCAUUUUUACGGUUUUUUCAUCAUGAAGAUUGCAGUGUGCUUCUUAGAAAAGAGAUCCUUAAGCCAAUGCUGUUCAUUGUCCAUGACGGAAGAGGGACUUCCACGUUCCACCUACGUUCUGCUGCAUCUUUAUCUUCCCGACGUAGCAUCUAAGCAUCCAGCUUCAGUGCUUCAGUGCUUCUUAUGCUAAAAAAACAACUUUUCUUGCUUCACUGGCGAGGCUGGAUCCCUUCAGUUGCUGUGACACACCUGCAGUCACUCACCACGGGAUAUUGGCCAGAGGAGACGUCGAGAAGAUGGAUUUUCUCAUCUUUAACAGUCGUCACCGGUCUCCGUCGGAUGUUGCCGCUGCUCCUGAUGUGAACGAAACUCAGUGGAGUGGGGACCAUCACUGGAAAACGAAAAGGGACAAUCGCGACCAUCACCGAGACUCGUCAUCAACGUGGAUCAUGGUAUUGUUGGUAUUAUUUCAUCUGUGUUAGUGUUAGUUAACCCGUUGGCUGCCACGCCUUUGUU
This is a long non-coding RNA of Daphnia pulicaria, 726 nucleotides long. RefSeq lists it as uncharacterized. The transcript has 5 exons. The record is from RefSeq and is a predicted model, not a curated record. NCBI's taxonomy places the organism in Eukaryota, Metazoa, Arthropoda, Branchiopoda, Diplostraca, Daphniidae.